Molecule: long non-coding RNA, 467 nt
Organism: Sciurus carolinensis (gray squirrel)
Lineage: Eukaryota; Metazoa; Chordata; Mammalia; Rodentia; Sciuridae
Exons: 4
Source: RefSeq, a predicted model, not a curated record
CCUCUCUGUGUGUCGGGAGUUUGUUUCUGUGUGUGCAAGAGGCUGGCCCUCUGUCGUCUCAGUGACUAGUCUGUGCGGGCGUUUCUUUGUGUGAUUUCUUUCUCCGUGCAUUCUCUGGUUCGGAACUAACUGUCCCACAUGGACGGGGACUUGUGGACAGAACGGGGUGCCCACAGAAUCCUCAGAUUCCAAGUGCUGGGUAGGACCUGACCCUUCCUGCUUCCACAGUGGGAGAUGCUUCAUAGACGGUUCCUAUUUAAUCAUCUCAACAGCUCUAGGAAGAAGGGAUUACCCCACUUCACCCAAGGAGACACUAAGUAUCUGGGAGGGUCAAGGACCUACCAGAGGUGCCACAGCCUCUGGUAGCCUCUGGUAGCCUCUGGCAGAGCUGGAAUGUGAAGCCAAAUCUGUGUGACUCUGAGUCCCGUGUGCUUCUCCUUCAACCACCUCCCUCUGUGCUCUCUCAG